RNAcentral lists this long non-coding RNA (363 nucleotides) under Setaria italica (foxtail millet). RNAcentral describes it as "long non-coding RNA (SITA_LNC005979)". Lineage: Eukaryota; Viridiplantae; Streptophyta; Magnoliopsida; Poales; Poaceae. The record is from RNAcentral.
CAAAUUGAAGAAUACAGACAUAAACUUAAGUUGACUGCCCCUGCAAACAAUAUAAUCAUAAAAGAGCCAUCUUUCUUGUCAUCCGCACUUCUCGGUGGCCGCCCUAUUAAUUUCAGGAAUAGAUAUUCAGACAAUUUUCUGAGCAGCCCAUUCUUCAAGAAAGCACAGCCAUUAUAUUUAAAGCAAAUCAGGGCUUACACAUGCUAACGAUAGAAAGAACGAACAAACUUCUUUGUUUCUGGAUGAUGAUCGAGCAAGUCGUUCCAGUCAGUGUUCGUCGCAUGUCUUACUGAGUAGACCAUACUCAUAAAGCCAGGAAACAGUUUAUUUAUUUCCUGAACCAUUCGUGAGGAGUCCGAAAUC